Bombus impatiens (common eastern bumble bee) is the source of this 288-nucleotide long non-coding RNA. RefSeq lists it as uncharacterized. Lineage: Eukaryota; Metazoa; Arthropoda; Insecta; Hymenoptera; Apidae. The transcript has 2 exons. The record is from RefSeq and is a predicted model, not a curated record.
AGUGGCUUGGAUCGAUUCGAACCACCCCUUUAAGGAAACGCUUUGAACUCACCUUCUCGGUAGGGUACUAGACCAUGCAGUGGACAGGUGUCAGAUAUACAUACAGUGUAGGACAAAAUAAUAAGAGGCUUUACAUACGAUGAGCCACUCAGAAAAGACAUUGAUCAACUCCAAAAUUGGAAAAUAUAGAAAGAACGAAUAUAAAUGCUUGUGCGGUAAUGCGAAAUUGAAAUAAAUUAGGAGCGUUAAUGAGAUUAAUGAUAAUGUAGAAACAAAGCAAAUUGAAAG